GAACGAACGCUGGCGGCAUGCCUACCCCCUGCAAGUCGACCGAGACCUUCGGGUCUAGUGGCGCACGGGUGCGUAACGCGUGGGAACCUGCCCUUAGGUUCGGAAUAACUCCCCGAAAGGGGUGCUAAUACCGGAUAAUGUCUUCGGACCAAAGAUUUAUCGCCUUUGGAUGGGCCCGCGUUGGAUUAGCUAGUUGGUAGGGUAAAAGCCUACCAAGGCGACGAUCCAUAGCUGGUCUGAGAGGAUGAUCAGCCACACUGGGACUGAGACACGGCCCAGACUCCUACGGGAGGCAGCAGUGGGGAAUAUUGGACAAUGGGCGAAAGCCUGAUCCAGCAAUGCCGCGUGAGUGAUGAAGGCCUUAGGGUUGUAAAGCUCUUUUACCCGGGAUGAUAAUGACAGUACCGGGAGAAUAAGCUCCGGCUAACUCCGUG
This 434-nucleotide ribosomal RNA is filed under the name uncultured bacterium. Its description in RNAcentral is "partial 16S ribosomal RNA". It matches the Rfam family "Bacterial small subunit ribosomal RNA", at positions 27 to 507 of the family's 1533-position model. The record is from RNAcentral.